UGAACUUUUGGUGAAGGAGGCUUCUUAGGAGUGCAACCAUCAUCACACUUCUUGUUGUUACAACAACUCUUUAUAAUAGGUUUACACUCACAACAACUCUUUGGAUUUUCACACUUGAAGCAAAUUGUGACACAUUGUAUGCCAUCACAUUUUGCACUUCCACAUGUGCAUUUUUCACACUUACCAUUACAAUUAGUCUUGCAACAUGAGUUGCAAGAACCAAACAAAACAGUACGACAUGCUUCCAUCAUCUUUUUCUUUUCUUCUUCUUUUUUCUUUUCUUCUUCUUUCUUUUUUUCCUCCUCGGUUUUCUUCUUCACCUCUUCCACGCUUAGAAUGGUGACACAGUUGAACUUCUUCUUUAGCAUGUUGGCUAAGCAAACUGUGUCUACAUUAUCACCAGUGACAGAUAUCUUAUCUUUAUCAUCUCCUUCCAAUGAUACUGAAGUCACACCUAUAUAUGCAUAUGUUUUGGUUUUUGAUCAUGAGUCAAACAAAUUAACUUGCACUAGCUAAAAUAAGUAUAUAUUGUGAUUGAGAAAUUAUGUUAGGACAUCCAAAAAUUGAUGUCAAAUAUGGUGUGUAAAGUGUUUUUGUGCGUAAUUUUAAAAUGUUUGUAAAGUGAGAGAAAGAUAGAGAUAAACACACAUGUAUCAGUAUAUUGAUGUUCAAAUAACAUAUUUGACUACGAUUUAUUGUAAAGAAAAGUUGAAUUCUCAAUAAAAAUUAUGCACAAAAAUAAUGAAAAUAAAUCUUUACUUAAUUUUAUCAUUAAGUAUUAAAGACAAAAAUUGAAGACAAAAUUUAAUUUAAUUAUCUUAAUUUUUAAACACCUAUAUUUAAAAAUAAAAUCAAAGCGAAUAUUUCAAUUUUUUCUAAUGAUUUUUUUGGUUCUGUUUUUUGAAAUUGUUUUGUCUUUGUACCAACCCGUUAACUUAUACGUACACAUUCGUCCACACGAGACUUAAAUUGGUGUCAUUAAGACAACUCAUUUGUCUUACAUGUGUAAAUGUGCACACAAACACAAUACAUUGGUUGUAUGGGCACUUAUUGCCCACACACAUAUAUAAUUAAAAAGGAAAAAAAAAAAACAUAAUGAUAUUUAUAUCUGAUUUUUGUAAAUGAAUAUUUUUGCUGUUAAUUAUGUAGUUGUUUUGAUAUUAAUAUUUAUACUAGGAAGAUAACAUGUAUUUGAGUACCCCAAAUUUUUUCAUAUAUAUCCAUAUGUAAGAUUGAAAUCAUGGUGAAGUCAACUCAUGUGACACAAAAGUUCAUAUAACCUCCCACCUUUUAUCUACAACCAAAAAAAGAGUGAGAUUUUACAAUUUUAUAGAUGAAAAUCAUGAGAUUUAUUGAGGUUGAAAAUUUGUGAACAUAACAAAUCUAAGAACAAAAUAAUUAAGGAAAACCGGUCCCCUUAAAUAAUUUUUUUGCUUUAUUCAUCCUACUUCUAACUACAAAGCAAACUAUGGUUUUAAAUUCCAAUUAACGUUACACUGCAAACUUUUAUAUUACGGUAAAAUGUAGUCAAUGCGAUCAAAAUUGUAAUUGGGAUAUUGUUGCGAAGACUUCAAAAUCCGCAAUAUCGUGGUCCCAAUUGCGGUUGCAGCCCAUAAUUUAAAUCCAUAAUUCAAAUAAAUAUAGUGAUUGAGAUGAUGAUUACCUUUGACCUCAGCAGCAGUUUUGAGUGCUUUGUUUCUGCAUUUCUCACAAUCCAUUUGCAACUUUAUAACUAUCUUUUGCUGUAUUUGCCAUUUAAUAAAUAGUUUGUUAAUAAAAUUACAACAAAAGAUAAAGAAAACUAAUAAAAAGAAAUACUAAAUAAAUUGGAAAAUAACAAGAAAACUCAAAAUAAUGAUUAACUAAUUAUCUCACCUUCAUCCUAGCUUAAUUGAAACAAAC
This 1902-nucleotide long non-coding RNA is filed under the name Medicago truncatula (barrel medic). RNAcentral describes it as "lncRNA gene37419". Lineage: Eukaryota; Viridiplantae; Streptophyta; Magnoliopsida; Fabales; Fabaceae. The record is from RNAcentral.